Molecule: transfer RNA, 69 nt
Filed under: Lunella granulata
Lineage: Eukaryota; Metazoa; Mollusca; Gastropoda; Trochida; Turbinidae
Description: tRNA-Ala
Source: RNAcentral
GGUGCUAUACUUUAAUAUAAAAGGUCUGAUUUGCAUUUAGAGAAUGAAAUAUAUAGGUUUCUGGUGCCA